UGGGUGCUCGAGUGGCGAACGGGUGAGUAACACGUGAGUAACCUGCCCUUGACUUUGGGAUAACUUCAGGAAACUGGGGCUAAUACCGGAUAGGAGCUCCUGCUGCAUGGUGGGGGUUGGAAAGUUUCGGCGGUUGGGGAUGGACUCGCGGCUUAUCAGCUUGUUGGUGGGGUAGUGGCUUACCAAGGCUUUGACGGGUAGCCGGCCUGAGAGGGUGACCGGCCACAUUGGGACUGAGAUACGGCCCAG
RNAcentral lists this ribosomal RNA (249 nucleotides) under uncultured Actinomycetales bacterium. Its description in RNAcentral is "partial 16S ribosomal RNA". It matches the Rfam family "Bacterial small subunit ribosomal RNA", at positions 84 to 334 of the family's 1533-position model. The record is from RNAcentral. Lineage: Bacteria; Bacillati; Actinomycetota; Actinomycetes; Actinomycetales.